Molecule: ribosomal RNA, 1250 nt
Filed under: metagenome
Description: bacterial SSU rRNA
Rfam family: Bacterial small subunit ribosomal RNA
Source: RNAcentral
CAAGGCCUUGCGCUCUUUGAGCGGCCGAUGUCAGAUUAGCUAGUUGGUGAGGUAAAGGCUUACCAAGGCGACGAUCUGUAGCGGGUCUGAGAGGAUGAUCCGCCACACUGGAACUGAGACACGGUCCAGACUCCUACGGGAGGCAGCAGUGGGGAAUUUUGGACAAUGGGGGCAACCCUGAUCCAGCCAUGCCGCGUGAGUGAAGAAGGCCUUCGGGUUGUAAAGCUUUUUCGGCCGGGAAGAAAUCGCAUGGGCCAAUACCCUGUGUGGAUGACGGUACCGGAAUAAGAAGCACCGGCUAACUACGUGCCAGCAGCCGCGGUAAUACGUAGGGUGCGAGCGUUAAUCGGAAUUACUGGGCGUAAAGCGUGCGCAGGCGGUUUUGUAAGACAGGCGUGAAAUCCCCGGGCUUAACCUGGGAACUGCGUUUGUGACUGCAAGGCUAGAGUACGGCAGAGGGGGGUGGAAUUCCACGUGUAGCAGUGAAAUGCGUAGAGAUGUGGAGGAACACCAAUGGCGAAGGCAGCCCCCUGGGUCGAUACUGACGCUCAUGCACGAAAGCGUGGGUAGCAAACAGGAUUAGAUACCCUGGUAGUCCACGCCCUAAACUAUGUCAACUAGGUGUUGGGUGGGUAAAACCAUUUAGUACCGUAGCUAACGCGUGAAGUUGACCGCCUGGGGAGUACGGCCGCAAGGUUAAAACUCAAAGGAAUUGACGGGGACCCGCACAAGCGGUGGAUGAUGUGGAUUAAUUCGAUGCAACGCGAAAAACCUCACCUACCCUUGACAUGCCAGGAACUUGCCAGAGAUGGCUUGGUGCCCGAACGGGAGCCUGGACACAGGUGCUGCAUGGCUGUCGUCAGCUCGUGUCGUGAGAUGUUGGGUUAAGUCCCGCAACGAGCGCAACCCUUGUCGUUAAUUGCCAUCAUUUAGUUGGGCACUUUAACGAGACUGCCGGUGACAAACCGGAGGAAGGUGGGGAUGACGUCAAGUCCUCAUGGCCCUUAUGGGUAGGGCUUCACACGUCAUACAAUGGUCGGUACAAAGGGUUGCCAAGCCGCGAGGCGGAGCCAAUCCCAGAAAGCCGAUCGUAGUCCGGAUUGCAGGCUGCAACUCGCCUGCAUGAAGUCGGAAUCGCUAGUAAUCGUGGAUCAGCAUGUCACGGUGAAUACGUUCCCGGGUCUUGUACACACCGCCCGUCACACCAUGGGAGCGGGUUCCGCCAGAAGUAGGUAGCCUAACCGCAAGGG